Molecule: ribosomal RNA, 346 nt
Filed under: uncultured bacterium
Lineage: Bacteria
Description: partial 16S ribosomal RNA
Rfam family: Bacterial small subunit ribosomal RNA
Source: RNAcentral
CCUACGGGAGACAGCAGUGAGGAAUAUUGGUCAAUGGGCGUAAGCCUGAACCAGCCAAGUCGCGUGAGGGAUGAAGGUUCUAUGGAUUGUAAACCUCUUUUAUAAGGGAAUAAAGUGCGGGACGUGUACCGGUUUGUAUGUAACUUAUGAAUAAGGAUCGGCUAACUCCGUGCCAGCAGCCGCGGUAAUACGGAGGAUCCGAGCGUUAUCCGGAUUUAUUUGGUUUAAAGGGUGCGUAGGCGGCCUUUUAAGUCAGCGGUGAACGUCUGUGGCGCCACCCUAGAAUGGCCGUUGAAACUGGGAGCCUUGAGUAUGUUUGAGGCAGGCGGACUGCGUGGUGUAGCGG